Molecule: non-coding RNA, 564 nt
Organism: Triticum urartu
Lineage: Eukaryota; Viridiplantae; Streptophyta; Magnoliopsida; Poales; Poaceae
Source: RefSeq, a predicted model, not a curated record
AGACCCGUUUUUUGGCUGCAGUCCCGACUGCUAGGGCUAUAGACAACGAUCCUCAUGGACCUCUUUUUAGAUGGUUGAGCCAGUUUCAGAUUGUCUCGUUAGGACAUCCCGACGUUCAGUUGUCGGAGGCUCAGAUUGACCGGUCCCUAGAGGCAUAUAUUCUUUGGCUGUUCGGCAAGACAAUGUUUACGGAGAACCACGUGACCACUGUCGAUGCACGACUCAUCGGUAUUGCACGAGAGAUAGCUGAAGCACGUUGCCCUGCGGAUAUUCUACAGAGGAGUUUUGGUUCUGCUGUGUUAGCGGCUACGUACAGAGGCCUGUGCAAAGCUUGCUUGUUGAAGUCUAGAAAAUCUAGUCUUGUUGGAUGUCCAUUAUUGUUGCAGCUUUGGUCAUACGAGAGGUUCCCUACUGGACGACCCUAUGUCUACAUUGAUAAACCUUUUGGUUUGGAGGACUUAGCUGGGACUUAUGUGCCUGCUAUCGGUGACUUACCUACUAUGGGAUCUGUUUGGACACGGCGAGAGAGACAGUUUGCGCAUACUCAGGUUAGGGGAUGCUACC